UGCACACAUGCACAUGUGAUUGUCUGUCUGUCUGUCUGUCUGUCUCUGUGGUGCUGCGAAAGAAGUUUCUGGAGAGGACACCUUGGAAGAUUCUUGCCAUAGGCUUUACCUGACACACAGACUUUCACUCCAUGGACUAUUCCUGUUCUUGCUCCAUACUCACCGAGGUCUGAGGAAAGAAACCUCCCAGUGAGGAAAGAUCCUGAAUCUCUAAGGUUUAUGAGUGGCUACAUCAGUGUCCUAGAAGUCCUGUAUCUAGAAUGAUGUCUACAGCACUGGCUGGCACAGAGUUCUAUUCUUAUGCCAUGCAAUACUGAGGUUUGGGCUCUAGGUGAGUCUCACCAUAUCUGGGCUGGGUAGUUAGCACAAACUGGAACUGGAGCAUGUCUUUCACCUUCAGAUCCUAUCAGAGCUGUUACAGGAAACCCACUACCCCUGGAUCCU
This 444-nucleotide long non-coding RNA is filed under the name Mus spicilegus (steppe mouse). RNAcentral describes it as "lncRNA (ENSMSIG00000002424.1)". The record is from RNAcentral. Lineage: Eukaryota; Metazoa; Chordata; Mammalia; Rodentia; Muridae.